This 534-nucleotide ribosomal RNA is filed under the name uncultured bacterium. RNAcentral's name for it is "partial 16S ribosomal RNA". It matches the Rfam family "Bacterial small subunit ribosomal RNA", at positions 356 to 900 of the family's 1533-position model. The record is from RNAcentral.
GGGGAAUAUUGCACAAUGGGCGAAAGCCUGAUGCAGCGACGCCGCGUGCGGGAUGAAGGCCUUCGGGUUGUAAACCGCUUUUGAUUGGGAGCAAGCGAGAGUGAGUGUACCUUUCGAAUAAGCACCGGCUAACUACGUGCCAGCAGCCGCGGUAAUACGUGGGGUGCAAGCGUUAUCCGGAAUUAUUGGGCGUAAAGAGCUCGUAGGCGGUUUGUCGCGUCUGGUGUGAAAGUCCAUCGCUUAACGGUGGAUCUGCGCCGGGUACGGGCAGGCUAGAGUGCGACAGGGGAGACUGGAAUUCCCGGUGUAACGGUGGAAUGUGUAGAUAUCGGGAAGAACACCAAUGGCGAAGGCAGGUCUCUGGGUCGUCACUGACGCUGAGGAGCGAAAGCGUGGGGAGCGAACAGGAUUAGAUACCCUGGUAGUCCACGCCGUAAACGGUGGAUGCUGGAUGUGGGGCCCAUUCCACGGGUUCCGUGUCGGAGCUAACGCGUUAAGCAUCCCGCCUGGGGAGUACGGCCGCAAGGCUAAAAC